CGUGAGCGUCUCGUGUUUCUCUUUGCGGGCUGGGGCAGGUGAAGAGGAAGUGGCAGCCCCGUGGUAAUUAAGAGGAGGGGAGAGGGAUAGGCACCCUAGGUAUUAAGAGGAGGGGAUUGGCAGUCUUCAGUCCAUUUCAUCCUCUGUCUCUCUCUAUCCUUUCUCUGUGAAAAUCUGAAAGAUCUCUGAAGCGAAUCGAAGAGAAAUCGCUGUGCUCCUCCACAGCCAACUAGAGGAUGGGCGACCCUGCUGAUGGACGGAGCUCAUUUUCCAAAAAAAGGGGAGUAUAUUAAAGGAGAGAAGAGUUACUUGUCCAGAUCCUCGGGCACAACAGCUGCGUCGGUGGUGCUACCCGGCAAAAAGGGGGCAGGGGCAGCGCGGACGUUUUCUCCAUCGUCCUCCAGCGCCACCCCGGUCAGUGAGAUGGGGACUUGGUAGGACUACAUCUGAAUUUUCUGUGCUUUAUGAGACCGUCAGUCUAAUUCUGUUCACUGUCAGUAGACAUUCUGUGGUUGUGAAUUUACAAGUAUCCAAGUUCACUGUCAGUAGACAUGUCUGAAUUACUUAAGCAACAUGCUUGUAAAUGGUCAGUAUUCCUAUAGUACUACCGUGCAAGUUUGAUCUGCACCUGUUAGUUUUUUUACCACUUUAGUUGAUGGAUUUAGCUACCUUCUGUAUCUCUCAAGGUAGGAGAUUUGCUGCUGAUAGUCUUGACUAAUUAAGGCAUCACUUAAUCUUUUCAACAUCAAUUUUCCACAUUUAUUCAAAAGUUGUUUUGCUUUUAGCUUCCUCUCUCCAACUCAUGGAAUGUUGGAUUUGUAGUGCCUGUUUUGGUUUUGUUUGUCUGAACUACCGAAACAGACACUUGAUGUUUUACAUUUCCAUAAGAAAAUCUGGGAGUGUUUCCUUUUACUAGUUACAAUUAGCAAUAUGUGAACGCAUUAACCAUCCACACUUACUCUCUACCACAGUUUUAUGACAAGCUUUUAUUAUCUCAGAUUUGUUUGUUUGCCCGCUAGGGGAUAUAUGGUGUGAAUCUAGAUUCUGGGAUGGAGUUUGCAAAUGGAGAUGACGAUUUUUGGGUAUGUUUUUUUUUAUGUUUUUUCUGGGUGUGAAUCACGAAUCUGAGGGAGCGAAUUAGUUUUUUGUUUGGCUUGACCUCGUACUUUUCUGAGUGUGAAAUGAAGAGAACAAAUUCCAUGGCCGACGUUGAAAUAGAGGUAGGUAGCUGAGAUUUUUUCGAAGGUAACUAUUGAAUUCUGAUGUGAUGUACUUGUACUUGGUUGUUACUGAUGUCCCUUCAAUUGCUUGAUGUCCCUUCAAUUGCUUGCUUGGCACUGAGCAUUGCCAAUGCUUGUUUGUAUUUUCUGAGGCAUUCGGCAUACUGAGAUUAUUAUUAUUUAUUUUCUGAGGCACUCGCAUUCGGCAUGACCCUGCAUUUUUUUACUUUUCUUGCAUGUUAGAACUUGAUGUGUAACAGAGUACCAGAUUAUAUUCAUCAAGGCAGAUAACUUAAAGAGUUUAUUUUUGUUGUUCAUGAAAGCACAUACAUGUUGUGCAAAUGCACUUGAAGAUGGUUGGGAUGCCAGAUUCAUCACAGUUUGUUGAUGCUGCACAUGUUGGACACCAAGAUUAACUGGUCCUGGUCCACAGCUGUUUGGAGUUCUUUGUGCCAUAGUUCCGUCCAGCACCUACAAAAUGAAGAGAAAACAUUAUUGCUGAGGAAUCUUCCAUACUGCUACAGGAUUGCUGUUACAAACAUGAGAAGAGAGAAAAGAAAAUCAGAUCUAGAACAAAUCACAGAAGAGAAGACGGGGGGAAAGGUGGGAGGGGGAGAAAAUCAGAGAAGAGAUCAGACGCCCUUACACUAGUGAGUUUCUCCAUGCUUGUGGGCAUGGGGUUUUGCCUGGGUUCAGUCAAAAAGUAGAGUUCAUAAAGCAGAGCAGCAAAUAGUUUUUUUUUAUCUUUUUCCUAUGUCGUCCAGGCCCACAAGCAAACAAUGUCAUGGCCCAGCCCAACAAACAAACAGGAAAAGAGAAAUCAGCCCAGGUGUUAAGCCGGUUCAACCCAGCAGAUAGAGAGCCACUUAACAGGCCUAAUCUACAUAUGAUGACGUCAGCCGACUGAGACUUCGCGAAGUCUCAGUCGACUGAGACCUAGACAGUCCCUAAGUUUAUAUGAACCCCGUGGUGGCUUUGUCCAUGAAAUUUCAUGUGCCUUCACUGCUCGCACGGUAGAAUGGUUUGAGGUGAAAGCCUGAUUAGCAAAUGUUGUUCUAGCCGGCCAAGCUACUUGCUGUCCUUUGACAAGUUUACUCCUUUGCCACCAAAUGUACCAGGCACCCGCUAAAACAAUUACCUUCACACCAAUUUGUCCGAGAACCGGUGACGAUGCUCCGGUGUGACGAAGGAUCUCCUCCAAAAUGAUGGACCCCGAUUGAUCAACAAAAAGUGUUUUUUCUACAAUAUCAUGAAUUCCGAGAUGGGAAUGCAUGUCGCAAGGCAAGGUAACGAGGAAUCCUAGUGCCCCCCGUCCCCCGUGCCGCUCCCGCGAGCGGCCCGGGCGGAACCCUAGAUCGCCGCCGCCGCUCCCCUUCCUCGCCUUCCUUCUCCCUCGCCGCCGCCAGGGGCCGUCGCCGGGCAAAGCCCGCGCGUGCGUCGGCGGCGGCGGGG
This is a long non-coding RNA of Triticum aestivum (bread wheat), 2672 nucleotides long. RefSeq lists it as uncharacterized. The record is from RefSeq and is a predicted model, not a curated record. The transcript is spliced from 4 exons. Lineage: Eukaryota; Viridiplantae; Streptophyta; Magnoliopsida; Poales; Poaceae.